This 507-nucleotide ribosomal RNA is filed under the name uncultured Acidobacteriota bacterium. RNAcentral's name for it is "bacterial SSU rRNA". It matches the Rfam family "Bacterial small subunit ribosomal RNA", at positions 355 to 878 of the family's 1533-position model. Lineage: Bacteria; Pseudomonadati; Acidobacteriota. The record is from RNAcentral.
UCGGGAAUUUUGCGCAAUGGGCGAAAGCCUGACGCAGCAACGCCGCGUGAGGGAUGAAGGCCUUCGGGUUGUAAACCUCUUUUCUCAGGGAAGAUGAUGACGGUACCUGAGGAAGAAGCCACGGCUAACUACGUGCCAGCAGCCGCGGUAAUACGUAGGUGGCGAGCGUUGUCCGGAUUUACUGGGCGUAAAGAGCGCGCAGGCGGUCGUGCAAGUCGCGUGUGAAAGCCCCCGGCUCAACUGGGGAGGGUCACGCGAUACUGCUCGGCUCGAAGGCAGGAGAGGGAAGUGGAAUUCCCGGUGUAGUGGUGAAAUGCGUAGAUAUCGGGAGGAACACCAGUGGCGAAGGCGACUUCCUGGCCUGUUCUUGACGCUGAGGCGCGAAAGCUAGGGGAGCAAACGGGAUUAGAUACCCCGGUAGUCCUAGCCUUAAACGAUGGACACUAGGUGUUGGUGGUAUCAACCCCGCCAGUGCCGAAGCUAACGCAUUAAGUGUCCCGCCUGGGG